AUUAACAAAAGUUACAUCCGAAAUUUAAAAACAAUAACCAAAUUAGUGUUUUUUUAGUUUUAAAAUGUUAUGUCCAAAUCUAUUAAUCAUUCAAUCUAUUAAAAAAAUAAAAAAUCAGUUAAGUGAAAGUUAUAUUUUAAAUACAAGAAAAUUGAAAAAUGAAAUUUUAAUUUUUUUUCUUUCAAAAUCUAAAUAUCUGAACCCGAUCCGAAAUAACUGAAUCCGAACUAAAAAUACCCGAACCCGUCCCGAUGUACAGAAAUACCCGAACGGGUUCUACACCUCUAUACCGAAAUAUCCAAAAAUCUGAAAUACCCGAUCUGAACCCGAACGGGUACCCGAAAGCCCACCCCUACUUAUACCCUGCCUUAAAAUAUAAUCUCAUAAAUUUGGUUUAUUUUUGUAAUUUCGUCUAUACUAUUAAAAGAGAAGGAUUCUUAAAAAAUCUACUUAUACAAAAUUGUUGGACCUAUUCAUUAGCUAAUUAAUUUUUGGUCUUGCCUUAUUUAUCUCUAACUAUACAAGAUUAUUACUAAUAGCACCCAUAUUAAUGGCAUCAUUUGAUUUUUCUCUUUACCUACAAAAUCGCCUACC
RNAcentral lists this long non-coding RNA (594 nucleotides) under Brassica napus (rape). Its description in RNAcentral is "long non-coding RNA (BNAP_LNC009231)". Lineage: Eukaryota; Viridiplantae; Streptophyta; Magnoliopsida; Brassicales; Brassicaceae. The record is from RNAcentral.